RNAcentral lists this ribosomal RNA (241 nucleotides) under uncultured bacterium. RNAcentral's name for it is "partial 16S ribosomal RNA". It matches the Rfam family "Bacterial small subunit ribosomal RNA", at positions 524 to 764 of the family's 1533-position model. The record is from RNAcentral.
GACGGAGGAUGCAAGUGUUAUCCGGAAUCACUGGGCGUAAAGCGUCUGUAGGUGGUUUAAUAAGUCAACUGUUAAAUCUUGAGGCUCAACCUCAAAAUCGCAGUCGAAACUAUUAGGCUAGAGUAUAGUAGGGGUAAAGGGAAUUUCCAGUGGAGCGGUGAAAUGCGUAGAGAUUGGAAAGAACACCGAUGGCGAAGGCACUUUACUGGGCUAUUACUAACACUCAGAGACGAAAGCAGGG